GGCCUCGUGGUGUGGCAGUGAGCACUUUGGACUUUCAAUCCGGCAACCCGAGUUCGAAUCUCGGCUAGGCUU
Schistosoma mansoni is the source of this 72-nucleotide non-coding RNA. The record is from Rfam. Lineage: Eukaryota; Metazoa; Platyhelminthes; Trematoda; Strigeidida; Schistosomatidae.